Molecule: ribosomal RNA, 369 nt
Filed under: uncultured bacterium
Lineage: Bacteria
Description: bacterial SSU rRNA
Rfam family: Bacterial small subunit ribosomal RNA
Source: RNAcentral
ACGGAGGGUGCAAGCGUUGUCCGGAUUUAUUGGGUUUAAAGGGUGCGCAGGUGGUUUAUUAAGUCAGUGGUGAAAGACGGUCGCUCAACGAUUGCAGUGCCAUUGAAACUGGUAGACUUGAGUAAAGUAGAGGUGGGCGGAAUUGAUAGUGUAGCGGUGAAAUGCAUAGAUAUUAUCAAGAACUCCAAUUGCGUAGGCAGCUCACUUGGCUUUUACUGACACUCAUGCACGAAAGUGUGGGUAUCAAACAGGAUUAGAUACCCUGGUAGUCCACACUGUAAACGAUGAUAACUAGGUGUCGGCCGAAUCUGGUCGGUGCCACAGCGAAAGCGUUAAGUUAUCCACCUGGGGAGUACGCCGGCAACGGUG